ACGGAUAAAAAACUCUACAGGUUGUUAUCAAAAUUCGUAUGGUUGGCUCUUCCAUAUCACUGAUUUUUGGUUGAACCCAUAUAUUGCUAAAUCUACAUUGAUAGCUACGAAUAAACUAGCGUUGCUGUAAAGUUGUUUUGACUGUUGAGGAUUUCUCAUCUGAUCAUCGCUAAUACAAACUAACAUAUGGCAGAUUUGGCUAUUUUAUUCAGGUCUAUUUAAAGAUUCUAAAUGUUAGUUUUUGAAUGUCACAAAAACAGAAGAUGGUGGAACUUAUUUUUUGGAGAACACACAUCAGAAAGCGAAAAUUUUCAGAUUCAUCCGCUGGGACAUAUAUUAAUGUUGAAGCGCACAUACUUUGAUCCCGGUAGGCCGAAGCAAUGGGAAAAAAACAAAAUCCCCUAAAAUGUUUCCAAACCAAUUUUACCACGGCCAGGGUGGCGUUUUCAGCGCAACUUUAAAAAAAAAAUCCUUCUGGAAACGGUGAAGCAGCAGCAUCAAUUGCAUUAAAAAAUAGCCUUUAAUGAGAU
Molecule: long non-coding RNA, 530 nt
Organism: Uranotaenia lowii
Lineage: Eukaryota; Metazoa; Arthropoda; Insecta; Diptera; Culicidae
Exons: 3
Source: RefSeq, a predicted model, not a curated record